RNAcentral lists this microRNA precursor (93 nucleotides) under Pelobates cultripes (western spadefoot toad). The record is from RNAcentral. Lineage: Eukaryota; Metazoa; Chordata; Amphibia; Anura; Pelobatidae.
CCCCAGAAGUUGCUGAACUACAACUCCCAUGAUUCUUUCAAUUAAAAAGAUAGCCAGGGAAUCAUGGGAAUUGUAGUUCAGCAACAUCUGGGG